UACGGAGGAUGCAAGCGUUAUCCGGAAUGAUUGGGCGUAAAGCGUCCGCAGGUGGCUAUGUAAGUCUGCUGUUAAAGAGUGAGGCUCAACCUCAUAAGAGCAGUGGAAACUACAUGGCUAGAGUGCGUUCGGGGCAGAGGGAAUUCCUGGUGUAGCGGUGAAAUGCGUAGAGAUCAGGAAGAACACCGGUGGCGAAAGCGCUCUGCUAGGCCGCAACUGACACUGAGGGACGAAAGCUGGGGGAGCGAACGGG
RNAcentral lists this ribosomal RNA (253 nucleotides) under uncultured bacterium. RNAcentral's name for it is "partial 16S ribosomal RNA". It matches the Rfam family "Bacterial small subunit ribosomal RNA", at positions 524 to 776 of the family's 1533-position model. The record is from RNAcentral.